GGUAUGACGUUCUCAGACAUCGUAAGUACCUCGCAAACGUUUGGUGACCGGCACUAAGUGUUUUCAUUCCUAUGCUUGUCAUGCAGGACGACAUGCAGUCAGACCGAAAUAUAAUCAGGUUCUCUCAGAUUAACUUGAUCUUGCCAACACGAGAGAGCUACUUCGUAGAGAGAAACUCCAGUAUGAUGAUGCUUUACGAAAGCGUGUAUACCCAGGUCCACGUGGCACUGGGCGCAGACGCUGCCACAGCCGCCAAGACGCCAAAGACGUGGUGGACUUUGAGAUUCAGCUGGCACAUGCAAUUGAAUCGCCAGAGAAACGGCUCGACAAUGCCAAACUGUACCACAGAAUGACUAUAGCUGACUUGACUACCAUGUUUCCACAGUUUGCUUGGCUUCGCUACAUACAGAGUCAGUUCAAAAAAUUCGGUGUGGACUAUAAUAUUACAAAGGAUGAGAUGGUCGCCAACGACGCCUUAACUUAUUAUACAAACCUUUCCCCUUGGUUAAUCAAACAUCCAAAAGGACGCUGCUGAACUAUGGCAUGUGGCGUCAGCUGCGUGAUUUCUUAGGUUACCUCGGCCCAACAUUUACCAAGAUUGUGAAGCAAGCCAUAGGAGAGCCUGACGAGGUGUGUGUAGUCCACACUCAAACAAUCUUUCAG
Long non-coding RNA from Pomacea canaliculata, 663 nucleotides. RefSeq lists it as uncharacterized. Lineage: Eukaryota; Metazoa; Mollusca; Gastropoda; Architaenioglossa; Ampullariidae. The record is from RefSeq and is a predicted model, not a curated record. The transcript is spliced from 6 exons.